Molecule: long non-coding RNA, 248 nt
Filed under: Manihot esculenta (cassava)
Lineage: Eukaryota; Viridiplantae; Streptophyta; Magnoliopsida; Malpighiales; Euphorbiaceae
Description: long non-coding RNA (MESC_LNC000085)
Source: RNAcentral
GAGUUGAGACGCUGAAUUAUGCAUGUUAGAGUGUGUUGGAGAAGUUGUGCAUGAGAGGAAGCAAGGUUCUGCCUUCUGGAGAACCCAGCUUCGGCCGCCGAAGUGAAGAUUCGGCCGCCGAACCUCUUGUGGAGGUAGUUUCGGCUGCCUAAGGUUGCCUCCGAAAGAAUGGACUUUCGGAUCUGUCAUGCACAUUCGGCCGCCGAAGGUGCCGCCGAACAUGCAUGAGUUUCGGCUCUGGAGAGGAC